UUAGUGAUCCAAGUGAAGAGAUCACAAAAUGCAGAGGAUGUUGUUGCUUAAAGCAUUUGCCAAAUGCCACUUGGUAUCGUUAGGGACCCUCGUGACUGGUGUGAGCAUGUGCACGUGAUGCCUCUAAAUGUAAGUUAAACGAUGGUUGAGUAAUUGAGUAUUGACUAAGCUAUAUAUUGCUUGUUUAACUUGUAUUGCAUUACAUAGCUUGUGUUGUUGAUUAGUGUCAUCACGUUUCCUUUAUAAAAGCCUUCAAUC
This 258-nucleotide long non-coding RNA is filed under the name Lathyrus oleraceus (garden pea). Its description in RNAcentral is "Pisum sativum (pea) long non-coding RNA (PSAT_LNC028553)". The record is from RNAcentral. Lineage: Eukaryota; Viridiplantae; Streptophyta; Magnoliopsida; Fabales; Fabaceae.